AGUGAACGCUGGCGGCGUGCUUAACACAUGCAAGUCGAACGAGAACGGAUUAUAGCUUGCUAUAAUUGUCAGCUAAGUGGCGCACGGGUGAGUAAUGUAUAGGUAAUAUGCCUCUUACUAAGGGAUAACAAAUGGAAACGUUUGCUAAUACCUUAUACUCCUUAUUAACAGAAGUUAAUAAGGGAAAGAUUUAUUGGUAAGAGAUUAGCCUGUAUUGUAUCAGUUAGUUGGUGGGGUAAUGGCUUACCAAGACUAUGACACAUAACUGGUUUGGGUGGAUGAUCAGUCACACUGGAACUGAGACACGGUCCAGACUACUACGGGAGGCAGCAGUGGGGAAUAUUGCACAAUGGACGAAAGUCUGAUGCAGCAACGCCGCGUGGAGGAUGACACAUUUCGGUGCGUAAACUCCUUUUAUAUGAGAAGAUAAUGACGGUAUUAUAUGAAUAAGCACCGGCUAACUCCGUGCCAGCAGCCGCCGCGG
Molecule: ribosomal RNA, 484 nt
Filed under: uncultured bacterium
Lineage: Bacteria
Description: partial 16S ribosomal RNA
Rfam family: Bacterial small subunit ribosomal RNA
Source: RNAcentral